ACUGCGCCCUCGUCCACUGCCGGCUCCUCCCCACCGCCGGGGACCCCGACCCGGCGCCCCCCUAGUCCGCCGUCUCCUCAGGCCGCUUCUCUCCAGCCCCGUUCUGCCCGUUCAUUCUAGCUGCGUGAGACCCGGACACCGGGAUUUGACAUGUGGGCCCCAGCUUCUCCUGUCCUGCAACCUCAUUCGCACCGAAUUAUCUAGCCUCGCCCUCCGAAGUAUUAAACCAGCUUUGCCCUAGCCGCGGCGCCCCUCCUCCAAACUUCGCUCCGCAGAGAGGGCUGGGACAUUUCAGCAAAUGGAAGAACACCCUGUCUUAGUGGGAUUCUGUGAGGCCCACUCCACGAACUUCGGGCUGUUCCCAUCUUUAAUCAGGAGAGGGCGCCCCGUCCCCUGCAACAAAGCACAGAGAGGCUCUCAGGCCUUGAGCUCUCCACAAUGAGAGUUGAUCCCCAGAAGCCAACUCCCAGCGAUUACUGCCCCUCCCUGAUCCUGACCUAUUCAUAAAGCAGGACCCUGCACCACUUUGCAAAAACCAGCCUACCCCAACAAAGGAGGGCGAGAGGACCAAAAGUCCCAACUGUUGGCAUUUUGGGAGGUUGCAGAUCAUCUGGAAAGGUAGAAGACUUGUAAGCUAGUCAGUGUCACCAUUACAUCCUCCCAUAAAGAUUGACACAGUCUAGCACUCAUCACGUCUCAAGGUUAAUGUACUCUGAGCAGCCAUCAUGUCCCAGGCACUUUUCUACUUUUAAUGUGUUUUCUCAUUUACUCUUCAUUUUAAAAAUCUUACGAAGUAGAUACUAUCAACAUCCCCACUUUAUCGAUGGAUUCGACUGACACCUGCAAUCAUUCCCUUAUUAUUAAAUACUUUUGACCUCACAAAGUAGCUGUAAUUGCAGCUUUAUAUGUUCCUUUAUAUGCAGUCUUGUUCAUUCACUCAGCUAGGCAGUGGUGAUGAACUUACAGCAUGUGUGCCUCAGUGGGCUGUAUCAUUGAAAGCUCUAAAGUGUUUACCAUCACUGAGCCACUGAACUGAGCAAUGGUAGGGGACCCAGAGAUAUACAUCACAGAUUCACUCUUUGGGGAUCCAAGUUUGGACAGAAAGUAUCUUAUUCUAAAAACUACUUUUCAUUGCCAGGCAUGGUGGCACACUCUGGGAGGCUGAGGUAGUGGGGUCAUAAAUUUGAAACCAGUCUGGGCAACUUAGUGAUUCAGUGAGACCCUGCUGCAAAAUUUUAAAAACAGGUUGGGGAUCAUCCUGGGUUCAACCUCCAGUAUCAAAAACAAAAACAAAAAAACUUUCCUUGGCUUUGAAUUCUCUCCCACUUUGUUCUUUAGGGUUAGAGAAAAUAGAUUCAUAAAACCACAUAAAAACUACUUUUGUCCAAUUUCAACAAUUAGAUUUGGGUUUUCUGCCUUGGGGCUUCAUGGCAUCAUCUCUGUUGAGCUCCAUGCCAGAGUGCCUUCUUCUGGCUUUUUUUUUUUUUUUCCCUGCCUGGGAUCGAACUCAGGACCUUGCACUUGCCAGGCAGGUUCUUAUGCCACUGAGCUAAAUCCCCAGCCUCUCCUUCUGACUUUAUUCUCUGUCUUGAUCCCUUGUCUGUUCUCUUCACCCUAAAGUACCAUUCCUUAAGGCCAGAGCCCUUCUCUCUGCAUCUAGGCCACUGCCCAUGCCUGAAGCUUUAAGUGGUCUUAUCUCACCUUUAACUUUCUGGUGGUUGGGGCCAUGUGGGCAGUUCAUCUUUUGGCUCUGAUUCUGCGUUUCCUUGUCUGUAAAAAUGGCUUUAGGAAUAUCCACAGCAUAGAAUUGUUGUGACAAUUAGAGGUAAUACAGCAGUGUACCAGGCAUGCAGAGGGUACCCGAUGCAUGAUGGUUAUCACAACUACAUGUGUGAGCUACAUUUUGAACUCAUCCUCACUGAAACUUCUCUGAACAGUGUGACAUCAGUGGUGUUCACUGUGAAUUAUUUCUUCAGUUUAAAAGACUAACCUACUUUAUAGCUCGGCAGCACAGUGCUUUCCUGGCAAGCACAUGGUCCUGAAAUUGAUUCCCAGUAGCAAAAAAGAAGGAGGAGGAGGAGAACAAGAGGAGGAAGAGAGAGAGGAGGGAGAAGAAGAAGAGGAAGAAGAACCCCCUAAAACCCAAAAAACUCACCUACUUUGUUUUAUGUGAGGAACAGUAACAUGGAUUCUGUAUGCCAGACUCUCAUACACUUUUUUAUUUGAACCCAUUUUUACAGAUAAAGAAUUAGUGCUAGCAAGUGUUUAAUUCAGUAGGCACUCGGUGUUGGUUGAGCUAGCAUUUUUGCAUUGUCCAUGUAGCUGGUACUUCUGUUGAGGCCUUCUAGUAUCUCUUGCCCUCCUGGUGUCUGGACAUAUUCCAGAGAGCCUGUGACUGCAAUAGUAACAUCAGUUUCCAGUUUCAGUCAGUCACUCUCCAGUCUCCGUGUCCACACAUGUGUUUCACACACACCCGCCCAGCUGAGGGUUUGUUUUUAGCAAUGUUCUUCCCCUACAAGCAUGGGGGACAGUGUGGAUGUGGGGAGAGGGGGAGAUAAAAGGAAGGGCAUAUGUGUGGUGUCCCCUAAGGAGUCUGGCCCCCUCAUAGUCUGUGAUAACAUCAGUCCCGGCAUGGGAACAGAGACUGGGUAGGAAAGCCUCCCAAGAGGAGAAAAUGUUCUCUCCUCUUUUCUCAUGAUGUGUGACUAGGCUAUGUUUACAGAGCUAGAAGGAAGUGGCCGACCUUCAGGUGGCUAGUAAGAACAAACAAAAUUAAAAACAUUCUUGGGCUAAUGGAGUUCCUCCUGGGUUAGUGGGGCAAGAAGAACUGGUUAUGCUUGUUUGCUUAACUUAGAUAGUUUAGAUAAAAAGCUUCACUUAGAUAGUUUAGAUAACAUUGUAACUUGUCACAAAGCUUGUCACAAAAAUGUGCUAUUGCAAGGUAAACGUCAAUGCACUGUGAGUUGACCCGUUCACUAUAUAAGAACCUAAAAAUAAAGCACAGCAUGCAGUUGCAAUUGCUGUUUUCUCUGCUCUGCA
Molecule: long non-coding RNA, 3039 nt
Organism: Cavia porcellus (domestic guinea pig)
Lineage: Eukaryota; Metazoa; Chordata; Mammalia; Rodentia; Caviidae
Exons: 2
Source: RefSeq, a predicted model, not a curated record